This is a long non-coding RNA of Homo sapiens (human), 1980 nucleotides long. The record is from Ensembl. NCBI's taxonomy places the organism in Eukaryota, Metazoa, Chordata, Mammalia, Primates, Hominidae.
GACAACUCGCGGGGAUUGUUUUCCACACCGUGGAAGCUUUGUUCUUUUCGUUUUUUGCAAUAAAUCUUGUUGCUGCUCGCUUUUUGGGUCCACAUUGCUUUUAUGAGCUGUACCACUCACCGUGAAGAUCUGCAGCUUCACUUCAGAGCCUAGCGAGACCACAAGCUCACUGAGAGGAACAAACAACUCCAGACGCGCUGUCUUAAGAGCUAUAACACUCACCGCGAAGGUGUGCAGUUUCACUCCUGAGCUAGUGAGACUACGAAGCCACUGGAACGAAGAAACUCCAACCACGUUUGAACAUCAGAAGGGGCAGACUCCAGACGCUUCAUCUUAAGAGCUGUAACACUCACUGUGAAGGUCUGCAGCUUCACUCCUGAGCCAGCGAGACCACGAACCGAUCUGAACAUCAGAAGGGACAGACUCCAGAUGCCCCACCUUAAGAGCUGUAAUACUCACUGCAAGGGUCUGCAGCUUCAUUCUUGAAGUCAGACCAAGAACCCAGCAAUUCCCAACACACAGGGACCAGCUUCUUUCCUAACUCACUUAGGCUCUUCGUGCUGCUCUGGCAACUAACACCCUUGGCUGCAGGGGCUUGGACACUACCCUUAGUCACUGACAAUUGUGUGAAGGCUGCUGUCGUUAACUUCACUUGAUCACCUUAGGCUCCUGUGAAGUGGUGAGCAAUUCAAACAAAUUCCUGUCGUCAAAUCAUGUGUUCAGCUGCAUUGGCGCCAGAGCACCAAUGGGGCAAGAGAAUCCUCUGGAGAAGUUUUCUGUGAUCUCAUCACAGGAGUAGCCCAGAGGAACAGCCCAGGGCCUGGGGCCUAGGAUGGGUGGACCAGGCCAUGCAGCUGGUUGGGGGCUUGACCCCCACUCAAAAAGACAGGAGAGAGAAGGGGAAUGGCUGUAAGCAGUGAAGCUCCUCUUUGAACACUGUAGAAGGUUCCCAUCCUGGCACAGGCAUGAUGGAGAAAUUGCACUGCAGAGAAAUCUUUAAAAGCAAUUACCUAAUACUGCAGAUUGCUGAACUGUACCCACACCCAAGACUGAGCAUUGGAUCAAUCCAGAAUAUACAUCAGGUGUUCUGCAAUGUCUGCCUAAAACCAUGACUCUGCCUCCUCCAGCUGUUGCUACAUCUCACUAUGGGUUUCCUGUGACAUUUUGAGCAAGUAUGCCUCUGUGACUGGGGUUCUUACACUCCAGAAUGGAUGAGAAGCACCGUAAGUGGCUUUUAAAAUGAAUAUUCCCUGGCCCUUCAGUCGCUCUAUAGGUCAAGAAUCUGAAUUCUCAACCUGUCUAGAAGGUUCUGGUUUUAAUGGUCUGUGGGCUGCACAUUGAGAAACCUGUUCAGCGAGUGCAACAAAGGUUCCACAUGUGAGAAAGGAAGCAUCAGGUCUCUUGAGCCUGUUCUUUAAUCUGUAGGCUGCACCUUCUCUUUAAAUUCUGCUAAUAACACCAUGCGAGAAAACACCCGAGCUUGAAAAGCCCAUGUUCCAACAUAACUGUCCUUCACCACUCUGGAAAAUUAAUGGUUUGUUUCGAUUAUCCCUUUGUUAAACUCCAAAGUCAAAGAGCUCUGAAAGGCAUACGGUUAUUUUAAGUUUCAGGUGAUUUCUGUUGCCAAAUAUUUUAAAAAUUUAAAAUUGCUACGUGACCUCUUAGUAGUACUAUUAGAUUUCCUGACAAUAAAAAUAAGUCUUUUGGUUUCACCAUUUAUAGUUAGUACAGCUAAUAUUAAGUAUAAUUUUAAAAGCCUUUUAUUUUCUCAGAAAGAAAAAAUAAUCAAAAUCUGCUCAGUGUGGUAUUGAAUAAUUAAAAACAAAAGAACAGUAUCUUCACAUUAGUGUUUAAUAUUAAUUGCUUUUUUACCCUUGACACUGGUGCUAAUUAAAUUUUCAUUUUAUUUUCCAUGACUUGUUUAAACAGUUUUUGCAAAUUAUUGCUAAUCAGCCUAAUAAAACUGAAUCACCUAUUAAA